This 75-nucleotide transfer RNA is filed under the name Calothrix parasitica NIES-267. RNAcentral describes it as "tRNA-Asp". It matches the Rfam family "tRNA". Rfam says of the family: Transfer RNA (tRNA) molecules are approximately 80 nucleotides in length. Their secondary structure includes four short double-helical elements and three loops (D, anti-codon, and T loops). Further hydrogen bonds mediate the characteristic L-shaped molecular structure. tRNAs have two regions of fundamental functional importance: the anti-codon, which is responsible for specific mRNA codon recognition, and the 3' end, to which the tRNAs corresponding amino acid is attached (by aminoacyl-tRNA synthetases). tRNAs cope with the degeneracy of the genetic code in two manners: having more than one tRNA (with a specific anti-codon) for a particular amino acid; and 'wobble' base-pairing, i.e. permitting non-standard base-pairing at the 3rd anti-codon position. Lineage: Bacteria; Bacillati; Cyanobacteriota; Cyanophyceae; Nostocales; Calotrichaceae. The record is from RNAcentral.
GGGAAUGUAACUCAGUUGGUUUAGAGUGCCUGUCUGUCGAACAGGAAGUCGUGGGUUCAAAUCCCAUCAUUCCCG